CCUGGGCUUGACAUGUACGUAGUAGUGAAGGGAAACCGGAACGAGCCUUCGGGCAGCGUAGACAGGUGCUGCAUGGCUGUCGUCAGCUCGUGUCGUGAGAUGUUGGGUUAAGUCCCGCAACGAGCGCAACCCGUGUUGCUAGUUACAAGUGUCUAGCGAGACUGCCGGUAACAAGCCGGAGGAAGGUGCGGAUGAUGUCAAGUCAGCAUGGCCUAUAUGUCCAGGGCUACACACACGCUACAAUGGCUGGUACAAAGAGAAGCGAAAGGGAGACCUGAAGCGAAUCUCAUCAAAGCCAGUCAUAGUUCGGAUUGCAGGCUGCAACUCGCCUGCAUGAAGUCGGAGUUGCUAGUAACCGCAGGUCAGCAAUACUGCGGUGAAUACGUUCCCGGGCCUUGUACACAC
This 405-nucleotide ribosomal RNA is filed under the name uncultured bacterium. Its description in RNAcentral is "bacterial SSU rRNA". It matches the Rfam family "Bacterial small subunit ribosomal RNA", at positions 974 to 1390 of the family's 1533-position model. The record is from RNAcentral.